AACCGAGUCUUAACUGGGCGAAUAGUUGCAAGGUAUAGACCCGAAACCCGGUGAUCUAGCCAUGGGCAGGUUGAAGGUUGGGUAACACUAACUGGAGGACCGAACCGACUAAUGUUGAAAAAUUAGCGGAUGACUUGUGGCUGGGGGUGAAAGGCCAAUCAAACCGGGAGAUAGCUGGUUCUCCCCGAAAGCUAUUUAGGUAGCGCCUCGUGAACUCAUCUUCGGGGGUAGAGCACUGUUUCGGCUAGGGGGCCAUCCCGGCUUACCAAACCGAUGCAAACUCCGAAUACCGAAGAAUGUUAUCACGGGAGACACACGGCGGGUGCUAACGUCCGUCGUGAAGAGGGAAACAACCCAGACCGCCAGCUAAGGUCCCAAAGUCAUGGUUAAGUGGGAAACGAUGUGGGAAGGCAUAGACAGCCAGGAUGUUGGCUUAGAAGCAGCCAUCAUUUAAAGAAAGCGUAAUAGCUCACUGGUCGAGUCGGCCUGCGCGGAAGAUGUAACGGGGCUAAACCAUGCACCGA
This 524-nucleotide ribosomal RNA is filed under the name Serratia marcescens. RNAcentral describes it as "partial 23S ribosomal RNA". It matches the Rfam family "Bacterial large subunit ribosomal RNA", at positions 675 to 1197 of the family's 2925-position model. Lineage: Bacteria; Pseudomonadati; Pseudomonadota; Gammaproteobacteria; Enterobacterales; Yersiniaceae. The record is from RNAcentral.